This 2279-nucleotide ribosomal RNA is filed under the name Salmonella enterica subsp. enterica serovar Enteritidis. RNAcentral's name for it is "partial 23S ribosomal RNA". It matches the Rfam family "Bacterial large subunit ribosomal RNA", at positions 542 to 2803 of the family's 2925-position model. The record is from RNAcentral. Lineage: Bacteria; Pseudomonadati; Pseudomonadota; Gammaproteobacteria; Enterobacterales; Enterobacteriaceae.
AAAAGAACCUGAAACCGUGUACGUACAAGCAGUGGGAGCACAGGUUUACCUGUGUGACUGCGUACCUUUUGUAUAAUGGGUCAGCGACUUAUAUUCUGUAGCAAGGUUAACCGAAUAGGGGAGCCGGAGGGAAACCGAGUCUUAAUUGGGCGUUAAGUUGCAGGGUAUAGACCCGAAACCCGGUGAUCUAGCCAUGGGCAGGUUGAAGGUUGGGUAACACUAACUGGAGGACCGAACCGACUAAUGUUGAAAAAUUAGCGGAUGACCUGUGGCUGGGGGUGAAAGGCCAAUCAAACCGGGAGAUAGCUGGUUCUCCCCGAAAGCUAUUUAGGUAGCGCCUCGUGAAUUCAUCUCCGGGGGUAGAGCACUGUUUCGGCUAGGGGGCCAUCCCGGCUUACCAACCCGAUGCAAACUGCGAAUACCGGAGAAUGUUAUCACGGGAGACACACGGCGGGUGCUAACGUCCGUCGUGAAGAGGGAAACAACCCAGACCGCCAGCUAAGGUCCCAAAGUCAUGGUUAAGUGGGAAACGAUGUGGGAAGGCCCAGACAGCCAGGAUGUUGGCUUAGAAGCAGCCAUCAUUUAAAGAAAGCGUAAUAGCUCACUGGUCGAGUCGGCCUGCGCGGAAGAUGUAACGGGGCUAAACCAUGCACCGAAGCUGCGGCAGCGACACUGUGUGUUGUUGGGUAGGGGAGCGUUCUGUAAGCCUGUGAAGGUGUGUCGUGAGGCAUGCUGGAGGUAUCAGAAGUGCGAAUGCUGACAUAAGUAACGAUAAAGCGGGUGAAAAGCCCGCUCGCCGGAAGACCAAGGGUUCCUGUCCAACGUUAAUCGGGGCAGGGUGAGUCGACCCCUAAGGCGAGGCCGAAAGGCGUAGUCGAUGGGAAACGGGUUAAUAUUCCCGUACUUGGUGUUACUGCGAAGGGGGGACGGAGAAGGCUAUGUUGGCCGGGCGACGGUUGUCCCGGUUUAAGCGUGUAGGUGUGUGUUCCAGGUAAAUCCGGUUCACUUUAACACUGAGGCGUGACGACGAGGCACUACGGUGCUGAAGCAACAAAUGCCCUGCUUCCAGGAAAAGCCUCUAAGCAUCAGGUAACAUCAAAUCGUACCCCAAACCGACACAGGUGGUCAGGUAGAGAAUACCAAGGCGCUUGAGAGAACUCGGGUGAAGGAACUAGGCAAAAUGGUGCCGUAACUUCGGGAGAAGGCACGCUGACACGUAGGUGAAGUGAUUUACUCAUGGAGCUGAAGUCAGUCGAAGAUACCAGCUGGCUGCAACUGUUUAUUAAAAACACAGCACUGUGCAAACACGAAAGUGGACGUAUACGGUGUGACGCCUGCCCGGUGCCGGAAGGUUAAUUGAUGGGGUCAGCGCAAGCGAAGCUCCUGAUCGAAGCCCCGGUAAACGGCGGCCGUAACUAUAACGGUCCUAAGGUAGCGAAAUUCCUUGUCGGGUAAGUUCCGACCUGCACGAAUGGCGUAAUGAUGGCCAGGCUGUCUCCACCCGAGACUCAGUGAAAUUGAACUCGCUGUGAAGAUGCAGUGUACCCGCGGCAAGACGGAAAGACCCCGUGAACCUUUACUAUAGCUUGACACUGAACAUUGAGCCUUGAUGUGUAGGAUAGGUGGGAGGCUUUGAAGUGUGGACGCCAGUCUGCAUGGAGCCGACCUUGAAAUACCACCCUUUAAUGUUUGAUGUUCUAACGUGGACCCGUUACCCGGGUUGCGGACAGUGUCUGGUGGGUAGUUUGACUGGGGCGGUCUCCUCCUAAAGAGUAACGGAGGAGCACGAAGGUUGGCUAAUCCUGGUCGGACAUCAGGAGGUUAGUGCAAUGGCAUAAGCCAGCUUGACUGCGAGCGUGACGGCGCGAGCAGGUGCGAAAGCAGGUCAUAGUGAUCCGGUGGUUCUGAAUGGAAGGGCCAUCGCUCAACGGAUAAAAGGUACUCCGGGGAUAACAGGCUGAUACCGCCCAAGAGUUCAUAUCGACGGCGGUGUUUGGCACCUCGAUGUCGGCUCAUCACAUCCUGGGGCUGAAGUAGGUCCCAAGGGUAUGGCUGUUCGCCAUUUAAAGUGGUACGCGAGCUGGGUUUAGAACGUCGUGAGACAGUUCGGUCCCUAUCUGCCGUGGGCGCUGGAGAACUGAGGGGGGCUGCUCCUAGUACGAGAGGACCGGAGUGGACGCAUCACUGGUGUUCGGGUUGUCAUGCCAAUGGCACUGCCCGGUAGCUAAAUGCGGAAGAGAUAAGUGCUGAAAGCAUCUAAGCACGAAACUUGCCCCGAG